CGCACAUUGCGCCCUUUGGCAUUCCUUAGGGCAUGCCUGUUCGAGCGUCAUUUUCACCCAUCAAGCCCGGCUUGGUGUUGGGCGCCUGUCCGGCUUCGCCGGACUCGCCUAGAAAGCAUUGGCGGCCCGUCCCGCGGCUUGGAGCGCAGCACAGUCGCGCCUCCACGCCCCGGGCUGGCGACCAGCAAGUGAAUCUUACCACUUUGACCUCGGAUCAGGUAGGGAUACCCGCUGAACUUAA
This 241-nucleotide unclassified non-coding RNA is filed under the name Halotthiaceae sp. RNAcentral's name for it is "partial contains 5.8S ribosomal RNA, internal transcribed spacer 2, and large subunit ribosomal RNA". Lineage: Eukaryota; Fungi; Ascomycota; Dothideomycetes; Pleosporales; Halotthiaceae. The record is from RNAcentral.